ACUCAAAGGAAUAGACGGGGGCCCGCACAAGCGGUGGAGCAUGUGGUUUAAUUCGAUGCAACGCGAAGAACCUUACCAAGACUUGACAUGGAGACGACAGGUGUAGAGAUACAUCCUUCCUUCGGGACGUCUCACACAGGUGGUGCAUGGUUGUCGUCAGCUCGUGUCGUGAGAUGUUGGGUUAAGUCCCGCAACGAGCGCAACCCUUACUGUUAGUAGCCAUCAGGUUAUGCUGGGCACUCUAACGGGACUGCCGCGGAUAACGCGGAGGAAGGUGGGGACGACGUCAAAUCAUCAUGCCCUUUAUGUCUUGGGCAACACACGUGCUACAAUGGCUGCAACAAAGUGAAGCGAACCCGCGAGGGGAAGCAAACCACAAAAAAGCAGUCUCAGUUCGGAUUGUAGUCUGCAACUCGACUAUAUGAAGCUGGAAUCGCUAGUAAUCGCAAAUCAGCAUGUUGCGGUGAAUACGUUCCCGGGCCUUGUACACACCGCCCGU
Molecule: ribosomal RNA, 499 nt
Filed under: uncultured bacterium
Lineage: Bacteria
Description: bacterial SSU rRNA
Rfam family: Bacterial small subunit ribosomal RNA
Source: RNAcentral